CCAAUAGCGUAUAUUAAAGUUGUUGCAGUUAAAAAGCUCGUAGUUGAAUUUCGGGAUCAGUAGGUCGGUCGUGCCACUGGUAUGCACUGGUCUCACUGGUUCCUCCUUCCUGAUGAACCGUAAUGCCAUUAAUUUGGUGUUGCGGGGAAACUGGACUGUUACUUUGAAAAAAUUAGAGUGUUUAAAGCAGGCUAACGCUUGAAUACAUUAGCAUGGAGUAAUGAAAUAGGACGUUCGAUCCUAUUUUGUUGGUUUCUAGGAUUGACGUAAUGAUUAAUAGGGAUAGUUGGGGGCAUUAGUAUUCAAUUGUCAGAGGUGAAAUUCUUGGAUUUAUUGAAGACUAACUACUGCGAAAGCAUUUGCCAAGGAUGUUUUCAUUAAUCAAGAACGAAAGUUAGGGGAUCGAAGACGAUCAGAUACCGUCGUAGUCUUAACCAUAAACUAUGCCGACUAGGGAUCGGAUGAUGUUAAUUUUUUAAUGACUCAUUCGGCGCCUUACG
RNAcentral lists this ribosomal RNA (500 nucleotides) under uncultured Glomeromycotina. RNAcentral's name for it is "partial small subunit ribosomal RNA". It matches the Rfam family "Eukaryotic small subunit ribosomal RNA", at positions 591 to 1092 of the family's 1831-position model. Lineage: Eukaryota; Fungi; Glomeromycota. The record is from RNAcentral.